AGUGGAUGGGGAGCAACCUAGUUGUGCGUGUGUAAAGGUAGUGCCAAGAAAGCGAUGAUCAUGUUGAAAAUCAAUUCCCGGUACCCGAAACCGACACAGGUGGGCAAGUAGAGAAUACUAAGGGGCGCGAGGUAACUCUCUCCAAGGAACUCGGCAAAAUGACCCCGUAACUUAGGGAGAAGGGGUGCCACCGAGAGGUGGUCGCAGUGAAGAGGCCCAGGCGACUGUUUAGCAAAAACAUAGGUCUCUGCAAACUCGAAAGAGGAGGUAUAGGGGCUGACGCCUGCCCAGUGCCGGAAGGUUAAAGAAGUUGGUCAGUUUUAGGAUGAAGCUAGCGACUGAAGCCCCGGUGAACGGCGGCCGUAACUAUAACGGUCCUAAGGUAGCGAAAUUCCUUGUCGGGUAAGUUCCGACCCGCACGAAAGGCGUAACGAUCUGGGCGCUGUCUCGGAGAGAGGCUCGGCGAAAUAGGAUUGUCUGUGAAGAUACGGACUACCCGCAUUUGGACAGAAAGACCCUAUGAAGCUUUACUAUAGCUUGGAAUUGUGUUCGGGCUUCCUGUGCGCAGGAUGGGUGGGAGGCGUAGAAGGUAUUCUUGUGGGGAUACUGGAGCCAACGGUGAGAUACCACUCUCAGGAGGCUAGAAUUCUAACUUAAUUAAGGACAGUUUCAGGUGGGUAGUUUGACUGGGGCGGUCGCCUCCAAAAAGGUAACGGAGGCGUACAAAGGUUCCCUCAGACUGGUUGGAAAUCAGUCGAAGAGUGCAAAGGCAGAAGGGAGCUUGACUGCGAGAAGUACAGUUCGAGCAGGGUGGAAACACGGUCUUAGUGAUCCGACGGUGCUGUGGAAGGGCCGUCGCUCAACGGAUAAAAGUUACUCUAGGAUAACAGGCUGAUCUCCCCCAAGAGUUCACAUCGACGGGGAGGUUUGGCACCUCGAUGUCGGCUCAUCGCAACCUGGGGCGGAAGUACGUCCCAAGGGUUGGGCUGUUCGCCCAUUAAAGCGGUACGUGAGCUGGGUUCAGAACGUCGUGAGACAGUUCGGUCCAUAUCCGAUGUAGGCGUGAGAAUAUUGAGAGGAGCCUUCCUUAGUACGAGAGGACCGGGAAGGACGCACCGCUGGUGUACCUGUUAUGAUGCCAAUUGUAAACGCAGGGUAGCCAAGUGCGGAGAGGAUAACCGCUGAAAGCAUCUAAGUGGGAAGCCCACCUCAAGAUGAGUAUUCUGGUGUAAGGUCACGGGAAGACGACCCGUAAAUAGGCACGAGGUGGAAGUGCAGAGAUGUAUGAAGCCGAAGUGUACUAAUAGACCGUCGGCUUGAUC
RNAcentral lists this ribosomal RNA (1322 nucleotides) under metagenome. Its description in RNAcentral is "bacterial LSU rRNA". It matches the Rfam family "Bacterial large subunit ribosomal RNA", at positions 1561 to 2925 of the family's 2925-position model. The record is from RNAcentral.